GCACUGCUGAAGAGUCCCACAACAGGACGGAGCGACCGUCGAGUGC
Schistosoma margrebowiei is the source of this 46-nucleotide non-coding RNA. The record is from Rfam. Lineage: Eukaryota; Metazoa; Platyhelminthes; Trematoda; Strigeidida; Schistosomatidae.